This 534-nucleotide ribosomal RNA is filed under the name Triticum aestivum (bread wheat). Its description in RNAcentral is "partial small subunit ribosomal RNA". Lineage: Eukaryota; Viridiplantae; Streptophyta; Magnoliopsida; Poales; Poaceae. The record is from RNAcentral.
AUGUUGAACUUUGUCAAGCAAUAUGAAAAAAUCCAGAAUCACAUCCUUGUCAAGGAAGGCUGCAAUGAUUACAGGACAGAACACCUUGAGAUUGAGUUGUGGUCCAACUUCCCAAUAGAGAAGCAAGCUUACAAAACCUAUACCAGGGACCUUUACCGCAAGUUUAGAGAAGAGUUUGAGCUGAUUGGACGUUAUAAUGCAUUCCAAGUUGGUGCUGAUAUAUUUGAGCUCAGACCGAACCAGAAAUUUGUUGCCAAAUAUGGUUCUCGAAACUACUUGGUGCAGGCAAGGGUGGAGGAGGGUUCCUAUUUGUGUGAGUGCUGUAAAAUGGACAAGGACGGCAUCCUCUAUUGCCACAUCCUCAAGGUGUUCACCCAUAUUGGAGUUGAUGUCAUACCGAAAAGGUACCUGCUAAGACGAUGGACACCUACUGCUGUACCUAGUGCGCCAGGGACUGGUUAUGAGCAACCGGAUAAAAUGCCUCCUCAAUCAAAGAAGCAGAUAAGGGAGAGGAACAUGAUAUAUGAUUUUUAG